RNAcentral lists this ribosomal RNA (223 nucleotides) under uncultured bacterium. Its description in RNAcentral is "partial 16S ribosomal RNA". It matches the Rfam family "Bacterial small subunit ribosomal RNA", at positions 111 to 334 of the family's 1533-position model. The record is from RNAcentral.
UAACGCGUGGGUAACCUGCCUCAUACAGGGGGGUAACAGUUAGAAAUGACUGCUAAUACCGCAUAAGCGCACAGUGCUGCAUGGCACAGUGUGAAAAACUCCGGUGGUAUGAGAUGGACCCGCGUCUGAUUAGCUAGUUGGUGGGGUAACGGCCUACCAUGGCGACGAUCAGUAGCCGGCCUGAGAGGGUGAACGGCCACAUUGGGACUGAGACACGGCCCAA